RNAcentral lists this long non-coding RNA (400 nucleotides) under Monodelphis domestica (gray short-tailed opossum). RNAcentral's name for it is "lncRNA (ENSMODG00000042446.1)". Lineage: Eukaryota; Metazoa; Chordata; Mammalia; Didelphimorphia; Didelphidae. The record is from RNAcentral.
CUUGGAAUUGCUGUUACUCUGAGAGGCUAGUUGGGUCAUACUCCCUGGAAAAUUAUGGAAAACUGAUUGGCAGUUGAAAGAGGAAAACCGGUUGGAGUUUGGGGAAUAGUUUGUGAUGAAGACAAACUGAAAAGAGAAAGAAAGACAUUUUUUCCUCUGUGUGACUACAGAGUAGAACAGGCCAACUCGACCUACCAAGACCUACUGAAACCUGACUAGGCCCUUAAAAGAGAUGGCAGUUGGAAAAGUGACUUGGAAAGAAUAAGCCUCCCAAACCCUGAAAGAGCUCUGGCAGUUAAUCAACCUCAUCUUCUAUGUGGACAUCCCCGGGAAGCAUACUGCCAAGGUCUUGAAGGAACUUCUAGUCCUUUCCAUAUUCACAGGAUUUUUCAUUCAGCAC